This 60-nucleotide transfer RNA is filed under the name Phyllostomus discolor (pale spear-nosed bat). RNAcentral describes it as "tRNA-Ser". Lineage: Eukaryota; Metazoa; Chordata; Mammalia; Chiroptera; Phyllostomidae. The record is from RNAcentral.
GGAAAAGUAUGCAAGAACUGCUAACUCUAUGCUCCCGUACCUAACAGCACGGCUCUUCCG